Lolium perenne is the source of this 3885-nucleotide long non-coding RNA. RefSeq lists it as uncharacterized. Lineage: Eukaryota; Viridiplantae; Streptophyta; Magnoliopsida; Poales; Poaceae. The record is from RefSeq and is a predicted model, not a curated record.
GCCGGUGGUGGGCGGAGGCUCGCCGGUCCACCGCCAGCUGACACUAAAACUAAACGGUCGACCCGACCGGACCGCACCGGACUAGACCAGACCGACUCCCAGGUCGAGCCGCACCUCACACCUAGCCUAGCCGCAUUCCGGCGCCGCCGCCGGCGAACUCCGCCUCUCCGGCGCCCUCCUCCCGGCCAAGACGCCGCGCUCGCCACCUCGCUCUCUUCCUCGUCCUCGUCCUCGUCCACGCACACGCCCAUCUCCCCGCCGCUUCCUCUAGCUUCUCCUCUUGUUCAGCCGCCGCGUGCUCCAGCCCGACCUCAACCUCCAGCCGUCGACAACGCACACGGUCUCCUCAGGACCGUGCAGGCGAGCUCACCGUAGGGCUGCCCGAGCACCCGGAGCUGCUCUCUUGAACUCCAUCUGUGUGGCGCCUGCGACGUGUUCGACGGAAUGUUCAAGCCAGCAGAUUGCAGAGCACUGUACUGAGAGGCACAACUUGGUACAGAUGGGUCAGAACUGGAAGCAGCUUCUCAAGAUUUCAGCAAUGUAAUUGGUACACUACCUGGAUGUACAUUGUAUAAAGGAGCCCUCUGCAUGUGGAGCGGAAAUAACUGUUGCGUCUAAAACAUGCCUGUGUGUGGUCUCGUAUAGCUGAAGCACAAUUGAACAAUAAGAUCUCAUGUGAUGGUUAAUUGAAUUGUCCGUCAUGCCUAUGAACAGUGAUGCAUUGGAGUAGCAUACUGUCUGAACCACACGCAGGAGCAGAUAUCCUCCUGUGAUCCUAGGAAAUCUAUACUCUUGAUGCGUAUACCUGACAGAAGAAAACGCCGCAAAGGCUUCAGACAUCAGUUUUGGCGGUGACAGGAAAGACAACCAAGAUGGACUCAUUGAGCCUGACGACUGUGUACAAGUGUGCCUUUCUUCUGCUUCUUCUUGCUGACUUGCUGCCUGGCCACGAUAGCUACGCCCUUGCCUUCCUAGCUCACCUGGACAGGUGCACCAGCGCCAACACCAUCCACUGGCAAGCUCGAUACUUAGGACGGGGAGCUUGAUUCAUCCAUGGAUUCGGGAGUGUUCGGCAUGCUGCUGCUUGCCCUGUUUGCUAAGUGCUGCUGUUGCUUCCCUUGCCGCUCCUGUAGUUCCCAACAAAGACCAAACUGCGAGCCAAGAGAGAAAGAGCAAGAGCAGUUCUUCAACAGUGUAUGCGUUAAUGGGAUCAGGAGCUGCAAUAUUUCCUUGCUACCGCCGCAGGAAUGCUAGUAUUGUUGUGCCCGUGUCUUCAAGUAGGCAAUUGCAGAGUAUUGUCCUGAGAGCAGUGUGUCUUUCCUUUAACCAAUGAAACAAAAAAUUGAGUCAACUUCUAACUUGGGUUUUGGAGGCGUAACUUGGUACUGAUGGUCAGAACUGGAAGCAGCUUCUGAAGAAUUUAGCAACUUAUGCAAUUGGUACACUACCUGGUAUUGUGCAUUGUAUGAAGGAACCCUCCCAGGUGGAGCGGAAAUAGCUGUUGCGUCUACAUUGCAGUAACAUGCCUACGGGCUGGCCUCCUAUAGCUGAAGCACAAUUCAAGAAUAAGGUAGCAUGGGAGGGUUAACUGAAUUGGCAGUCAGUCAGUCACGCCUACAGACAGUGAUGCAUGGGAGUAGCAUACUGUCUGAACCACACACGCAGCAGCAGAUAUCUGUUAUCACAGCUCUAUUCUCACAGAUGGAUUACUCGGCAAUUAUCCCCGCAAAAAAAAAAAAAAAAGGAUUACUCGGCAAUUGGGUUUACAGCCAUGGAUUCACCAGGUUCAAGCAAUUACACAGGAAGAUGAACUAGGGAGGAAGGAGAUAGCCAAAGCAGAGGAGGCCAAAGCCGUCCAUUCCAAGCUGAUGCCACACAGAACCACCAGGAUCCCAUUGCACUUGAUGUCCCUGGUUAUGAACCAUGUUGAAGAUAUCAAGGUAGCAGCCAAUGCAGUUGAGGAAUGCGUCGUAGUAAUACUCAUUGUCAGCAUGGACUUUGUCGAAGUAGCAAUCAUAACUGAUGUAGUAGAAGCUACUGAUAUGAGCUUGAUUGAUGUCGUGAGAUGCAGGUUGGGCAUGCCCCCCUUCUUUAGCUUGAUCUCGUUUGCAGAUCCUAUGGUAGAAGUAGAGAGGUGCCCAUAUGUCAGGAGCCCAUGAAACUUCCUGGGACCAAACUUCAUACUGCUGAAGUUCCAUAUGACGACAUAAACAAGCAGCUGAAAUGUUGCUGCACUUAUCUUGCUUGAAGGGAAAUAAUGGCAGCCACAAUCUGUCGUAUGGCAAGACUGAGACCCAAUCACCAGCAAGAAAACUUGCACUUCCAAUAGAAGCUUUUUGCAGUUGAGAAUUUGAGAUACAGGCUAUUUAUCUGCAGCUGACACCUCCCAUGAAGGCCAAGGCUUGAGUUCUUUGUUAGCAGAGGCCUCUUCCAAGAAUAAGUAUGAGUACCAAGUCACCGCCGCUAAGGCUUGUGACUUGGUGGCGGAGAUAAGAUCGGCACUGUCAUGUUUGGAGACGGCGGUCAGAGUAGUAAUGAGAAUAAUGCAGCUGUGUGUAGCUUGGAGGGCCGCAUCGUUUGGCGUCAACGAGACCUUCGCCGUGGCAGAUAUGGCUGCAGCCAACUUCAGAAAUUCACUUGACCAAGAAAGUUGCCACUGAACAUGUGCAGAGAAUGGUCGCCUGAACAAGUUCCUGCCAUCAGCGUACUCCAAGUCAAACAACCGAAAAUGCCAGGGUUUCAUCUCUAUUAGUGCUCCAAUAACAUCCUGCAGUUUCCCAAACUUAAGAUAAGUGGCCCAAGAACUGUUCUGGAACUGUAGUUGGUUGAGACAAAUAUCCAUGACAUCAUGAGUGUAGAGAGCCGCAGCAAAAUCAACACCAGCGAGAUGCUUGUGACCAUCAAUUAAUUUUUGUCCAUUGUCACACGGCAAGUCCCAGAACUCAUAACUUGAAACCAACUGAAGUAGUAUCCUCCUAUGCCACAACUCAAUCUUGCAAGCCCCUGGAUCCCAAGGCAGUAAAAGGUAUGUGUUACCUGUAGGAAACUGAAAAAUUGGCCAGGGCAUUGCUUCAUCGUACUUGACCACGAGAAUCUAUGAACCUAACACCACUGCAGUCAGACUGUAAAUUAGGGAAGGAUCAUAAAAUAAGAUAGAAGGCCUGUUGAAGAUGCACGAAACUGCCUGCAGAGAGAUGUUGCCGCCAUUCUGAAAGGUAGCAACAGUGACUAGGCCAGUGGCAAGCAGACUGGUAAUAGCUGAGAUAGCUUUCAGCUUCAUAUGCCGAGGUAUAGUGACAAUAAGAAGGUCGACACUCUCCGCAUUGACGAUGAUGGACUGGUCGGUGUCGGAGUUGUUGCUCUCCGUCGAAGCUUCUGCGCCACCGGAUGACCACAUCGAACAUGGGGCUGUUGACACCUAAGUGAGCUCCAUGUUACUCACGGAAACAACACCAGGUGCAGGAGCCAUCUGGAGCGAGUCGUCCAUGGAAGAGGGUGCCUCUAUGAUCUGCUGGGCACAAUAGCCGGAGUUAAGUUCAGUCGUCUAUCCUUUGGCUAGCAGCUCUGCGGUGAGGAUGAUGUCCUCGCAUGGAUCCAUCUUAGUAUUGAUGGCCUCAGGGGCGACCUCGAUGUGGGGAACGCCCUUGCACAUCACACAAGCAGUCGGGCCGGUGGUAGAUGCAACUUCGUUGAUGUCGCCAUGGACCCCAACUCGUAUGGCAAAGCAAACUUGACGUCGAGGUAGCAGCACUCCUCAAAGAGAUACUUGCCAUGCAGGGACACAGGAGGCCGAGCCGCCUCAUCCCUUGAUCUCAACUGGACAAUGGCCUUCAAGUAGUGAGAACCCUUGUGAGUGGUGGCUCUCGGAUUCACAACGAGCCAUUG